RNAcentral lists this long non-coding RNA (2338 nucleotides) under Canis lupus dingo (dingo). RNAcentral describes it as "lncRNA (ENSCAFG00020010822.1)". The stretch from base 80 to 153 matches the Rfam family "mir-1247 microRNA precursor family". Lineage: Eukaryota; Metazoa; Chordata; Mammalia; Carnivora; Canidae. The record is from RNAcentral.
CUCCCACUAGGGGUAGCUGUUGCCUGAACGCCGAAGCGCUCCCCUCCCGCCGCUCGCCUCGCCCGGCGCAGCCCCGGCCGCCGGGCGCACCCGUCCCGUGCGUCCCCGGACGUUGCUCUCUGCCCCGGGAACGUCGAGACUGGAGCGCCCGAGCUGAGCCACCUUCGCCGACCCCGGGCGCGGCGGCGCGACUCACCGCGGAGGCGCCCGGACGCGUAAAGGAUGUUGGGGCUGCGCAGCCCAGGAACUCCCUGCCUGGAGGAGAGCCAGCCUGGUCCCAGCUCCUCUCCCCCUCCGGGGUAGGGGUCCUUCAGUUUCAGAAAGUGAAAAAGCCACUUUGGGGCUGGGAGAGCCUUUUCUGCUGCCUGGGACCCGGUGGCGGUGCUGGUGGAUGUGCGGAAGAAGUGGUUCAGGGGACUGUCACUGCUCUGGGGACUCUGUUUGAUUCCUGGGCGGACAGGCUACACUCCAUACCUGAGGGUUCCAGAACACUGGACAGGGUGCUCAGGCCCAUCUGGCUCCCACAGCCCCCUGUGCAGGGCUCAGGGGGGCUGUGCUUCACCCCCAUCCUGCUGCCCCCGCAUUGCUCAGCUCGGCUGGGAUCCUUUGCAGCCACCUGUUCCCGGCACCCAGGAGAAGCCAAUAAACCUUUGUGAAACGAGUGAGUGGUGUGGUGUGGACUUACUGGAAACUUGUUUCUGGAGAAUUUCAAGGUAUUUCGUUCUGCCCUUUUGCCUACUGGCAGCAGUGAGCAAGGUAGGGCAUGUGGGCAGUCAGCGCCCAGUGCGGCCUUACGGGACCUGCGGCGGAGAGCACGGUCCCUGGGAAGUCCCCGUGGGCGUGGGGUCUAAGGCGUCCUCCAUCCCCUGGCCACUGGGCCAAUCCGUUUCCCUUGCUGGGAUGAGCAGGCCUCCCACGGGUACCUGGGCCUCCCAUCACUGGGCUCACACAUGUCAUGUGCUUCAAGAACGACUUCUCAAACUUCUCCCGCCUCUCUGGACUCCAGCGUGGCCGGGCCUGCUGGGUGGACUCCCUGCGGGGGAGAAGUGGCCGAGGGCUCACUGGUCUGGUCUUGGGGGAGUCCUUAUGACAGCAGGUCUCCGCGCCUCCUCACACGGCAGGCCCCGGCUGGCACCCUCCGGGGAGCUCGAGGUAGGAAUGGGGAGUUGGUGGGCUUCCCCGGGGGGUGGGCAGGUUGGGAGCCAGGCCAUGAGAGCUUGUCAGAGCCCCAGGGCCUGGAUGGAGCAGGGGUUCGGGUGGCAUUCCAGGGCUAGAGGCCCGGAGCUCCCGGCCAAGGGGAAAGGCCAGGAGGUGAUGGCCAGGCCACCUACGGUAUGACGGGGACAUGUUCUGUCCCUCCCUCGGGCCUCAUCGGCACCGCAAGGGGAUUGGGUGGCUACUUUCCAAUGCUUUCCCUGUGCUGUCCUUCCAGAAGGCCAGGAGGUUCUAGGAGGUUUUAUAGGACCUGCCUUGCCCCUGCAUGCUGCUUUAGGGCUGGUGAGACCCCCACUGGAGGAUGGAAGGCAUCUGUGGCCUUGUGGCCUUGUUACUUGGUCCUAGCUUUUCUUUUGUCCGCCCUGCUCCUGCCAUGGGCCCUCACAUUUUGGUGCUCCCGACCCUCAAACCCUGGGCACUAGUGUGCCCGCCACGAGUGCAGACACAACCGAGCAUCCACAGUGCUCCCUGGUGCGCGGCCAGGCCCCUCUGGAAGGGGAGCCGGCACCAGCCAGAGGUCCUGUAUGGGUGCCUGGGGACCUCUUGGGGCCAGCGGGGUGCUGGGCCACUUGCGUGACGGGCCACCCCUCCUCUGAACCCUCACUGUACAGGGCCACUUUGAGUCCAUCUGCUGGGUUCAUUCAUUACCCUCCCUGGAAACAGGUGGGGUACAACCAGCCAGCAGAGAGACACCCUAAGUCCCUUAGCUUCUCCGAGCCCCAGUUUUCUCAACUGAGAGGUGAGCCUGAUGUCAUGAAUGUGUCAUGUGUGCAGGGCAAUGCCAGGUGUGUGAGCACGCGUGAGUGUGUGUGUCCGCUUAUUUGUUCUCAGCCUCGAUCCACGGUGCAUUUCAAGCCCCUUGUGGGAAGCCACGGAGUACCAGGUUCCCACCCGUGAGAGGAGAAGGUGAAAGUAAGAGGAGGGUUCUGCUUCCCGCCUCAACGUCCGCCACCCGGGCCUUGGACCCGUCGCAGAUCUCACGCAGGCCUCGAACCUGAGUGGUUGUGAUUCCUAAUGUCCAGGGGUUAAAAUGGGCAUCCGGCUGUGCCAGGCCCGAGGUGGGCUAGCCUUAGUCUCCGAGUCCUGGGGAUCAUCCCGGAGGACCCCCUCCCGCAGGGGUGUG